Molecule: ribosomal RNA, 164 nt
Filed under: Poa annua
Lineage: Eukaryota; Viridiplantae; Streptophyta; Magnoliopsida; Poales; Poaceae
Description: 5.8S ribosomal RNA
Rfam family: 5.8S ribosomal RNA
About the family: 5.8S ribosomal RNA (5.8S rRNA) is a component of the large subunit of the eukaryotic ribosome. It is transcribed by RNA polymerase I as part of the 45S precursor that also contains 18S and 28S rRNA.
Source: RNAcentral
CACACGACUCUCGGCAACGGAUAUCUCGGCUCUCGCAUCGAUGAAGAACGUAGCGAAAUGCGAUACCUGGUGUGAAUUGCAGAAUCCAGCGAACCAUCGAGUCUUUGAACGCAAGUUGCGCCUGAGGCCACUUGGCCGAGGGCACGCCUGCUUGGGCGUCACGU